This 253-nucleotide ribosomal RNA is filed under the name uncultured bacterium. RNAcentral's name for it is "partial 16S ribosomal RNA". It matches the Rfam family "Bacterial small subunit ribosomal RNA", at positions 524 to 776 of the family's 1533-position model. The record is from RNAcentral.
UACGUAGGUGACAAGCGUUGUCCGGAUUUACUGGGCGUAAAGAGCGCGCAGGCGGUCGUUCAAGUCGAGUGUGAAAGCCCCCGGCUCAACUGGGGAGGGUCACUCGAUACUGAUCGACUCGAAGGCAGGAGAGGGAAGUGGAAUUCCCGGUGUAGUGGUGAAAUGCGUAGAUAUCGGGAGGAACACCAGUGGCGAAGGCGGCUACCUGGACAAUUGCUGACGCUCAGGCACGAAAGCGUGGGGAGCAAAAGGG